CAAAGAAGGGAAGCCAUUACACAUGCAAGUCGAGCGGUAAGGCCCUUCGGGGUACACGAGCGGCGAACGGGUGAGUAACACGUGAGCAACCUGCCCCUGACUCCGGGAUAAGCGGUGGAAACGCCGUCUAAUACCGGAUACGACCCACCACCUCAUGGUGGAGGGUGGAAAGUUUUUCGGUCAGGGAUGGGCUCGCGGCCUAUCAGCUUGUUGGUGGGGUAACGGCCUACCAAGGCGAUUACGGGUAGCCGGCCUGAGAGGGCGACCGGCCACACUGGGACUGAGACACGGCCCAGACUCCUGCGGGAGGCAGCAGUGGGGAAUAUUGCGCAAUGGGCGAAAGCCUGACGCAGCGACGCCGCGUGGGGGAUGACGGCCUUCGGGUUGUAAACCUCUUUUACCACCAACGCAGGCUCCGGGUUCUCCCGGGGUUGACGGUAGGUGGGGAAUAAGGACCGGCUAACUACGUGCCAGCAGCCGCGGUAAUACGUAGGGUCCGAGCGUUGUCCGGAAUUAUUGGGCGUAAAGAGCUCGUAGGCGGCGUGUCGCGUCUGCUGUGAAAGACCGGGGCUUAACUCCGGUUCUGCAGUGGAUACGGGCAUGCUAGAGGUAGGUAGGGGAGACUGGAAUUCCUGGUGUAGCGGUGAAAUGCGCAGAUAUCAGGAGGAACACCGGUGGCGAAGGCGGGUCUCUGGGCCUUACCUGACGCUGAGGAGCGAAAGCAUGGGGAGCGAACAGGAUUAGAUACCCUGGUAGUCCAUGCCGUAAACGUUGGGCGCUAGGUGUGGGGACUUUCCACGGUUUCCGCGCCGUAGCUAACGCAUUAAGCGCCCCGCCUGGGGAGUACGGCCGCAAGGCUAAAACUCAAAGGAAUUGACGGGGGCCCGCACAAGCGGCGGAGCAUGUUGCUUAAUUCGACGCAACGCGAAGAACCUUACCAAGGUUUGACAUCACCCGUGGACCUGCAGAGAUGUGGGGUCAUUUAGUUGGUGGGUGACAGGUGGUGCAUGGCUGUCGUCAGCUCGUGUCGUGAGAUGUUGGGUUAAGUCCCGCAACGACCGCAACCCUUGUUCCUGUUGCCACCACGUAAUGGUGGGGACUCAGGGAAACUGCCGGGGUCACUCCGAAGAAAGGUGGGGAAAAAUUCAAUUCUCAAGCCCC
RNAcentral lists this ribosomal RNA (1161 nucleotides) under Nocardiopsis lucentensis. RNAcentral's name for it is "bacterial SSU rRNA". It matches the Rfam family "Bacterial small subunit ribosomal RNA", at positions 34 to 1201 of the family's 1533-position model. Lineage: Bacteria; Bacillati; Actinomycetota; Actinomycetes; Streptosporangiales; Nocardiopsidaceae. The record is from RNAcentral.